Molecule: long non-coding RNA, 1277 nt
Organism: Xiphophorus couchianus (Monterrey platyfish)
Lineage: Eukaryota; Metazoa; Chordata; Actinopteri; Cyprinodontiformes; Poeciliidae
Exons: 2
Source: RefSeq, a predicted model, not a curated record
ACAUUUCUGGAGAACUCAGCGAGACGGCUCUUUGUUGUCCUUAAGGCCGGCUGUGAUCACAAACUUUUGGAUGGGCCUUCCGACAGGAACAAACAAAGUCGACGCCGUUUAUGAGAGAAAGAGCGACAGCAAAAUCAUCUUCUUCAUCGGCUCGCAGUACUGGGUCUUCAGCGACACAAAGGUGAUGAGCGGUUACCCUCGGCCCCUGUCUGACUGGAGCGGCUCCGCGCCAGACCUGGGUGGACGCAGCAUUCGUCUGGGCCCACAAUGGGAAGACGUACCUGUUCAGCGGGGGACAAUUUUGGAAGGACUUGCUGAAGGACGGGGGAAUAAACCAGGAGUAUGUUUCUCCCAAGGCCACAGGGAUGGACUGGCUGCGGUGUCCGGGUCCUCCUCCAACGGCUGCGCCGCAGAAUCCUAGGAAGGAUUGCAGCUGUGCCUUCAACAGAUCGUCUCUGUCACUGAGGAACGACUGUCUGCUGCUGGUUGCCGUUAUGCUGAUAAUUAAUGGGUUGAUUUCUGUAAAUAAUUAACUAAUGUGGGCUGUUUUCUCUACACUGCAGCGUAAACGGGACUCCUUUCUACCAUCAAACAGCUUUAUUUCUUGAUUCAAAGGGUUUACUUGCAGGACUUGGCAACCGUAGGAUAGCAGCACUCUCCCAUCCCGGUUGAGUUUCACAUAUUUGUGUUUAUAGAAUAAAAAUGCACAAAAAUAUCAGCCUCUUUGGGAGUUUGAUAUUUAACACCAUUAUUCAGCAAAUGGAGCUCUUCUUUCACAUUUUAUUAUCUGAUCCAGACCGAAAUUUAGAAGAUUAAAACCGAGGCGCCUUCUUCUGAUUUCCAAAUCAAGUUCUUCCAAUAUAUUGUAGAUGUGUUUUAAAAUAUAUUCAACCAAUUAUGCAUUGGUUUAUCCUGUUUUUAAAUUAUUACAAUUUGAAAUAUAGUAGUUAGAUUUUCUACGUGUGAUUAUAUUUUAACUUGUACAUUAUCUCUGUUUGUGGUCUAAGGUUUGCUGCUUAAUAAUCGUCUGAAUUUACUUGUUUUUGUGUUAAUAACAUUUGGAUAAAGGGCUGUUAUGUAGCUAAAUGAAAUCCUCAGAAAUUCACACAGAUAAACUGAAAAUGUUUGUUUUAAUGGAGUUUUCAGUGUAAAAUGAACAAUCAGACAUAUAAUUGCAAAUAUUCAAAAAUGUAAUCAGAACCUCUCACUAUCUGUCUGACUUUUUUAGGGGAUUUUUGUACAGAAAGAGCAGACAAUGAACUGUUGUGCGUAUUGUU